RNAcentral lists this long non-coding RNA (1929 nucleotides) under Homo sapiens (human). Its description in RNAcentral is "HSALNT0409033". The record is from RNAcentral. Lineage: Eukaryota; Metazoa; Chordata; Mammalia; Primates; Hominidae.
AAGAAAAAUGGAACACAGCAGUUUCAUGACUCACAACAACUCUUCCAUAAUAACCAAUGUGAUAAAAACAUUUUUUCAGGGAAACAAAUUUCAGUUUUAGCCUUCCAAAUGACUAUUACGAAAAUUAACAACUAAUAAAAAAUUGAAAUACUAAAAGACAUCAUGUAUCCUCUCAAACUAUUUAUUUAUUGUACUCAUACAUAUUCUUAAGUGCAAUAAAAUCUGCCUAGAAAUCAUUAAUCCACUAGUAUAUAGUCCUUACUUGGUGCUGGCAACUGAAAAUUUGGUCUUUUUAUAUACAAAUUGUUACACGCAUGAAAAGUAGUCCAAUAAUGGCACUUUUUAUAGGUUAUUUCAUAAGUACUCUUGGUUGGACAUAUGCUAAAGUAUUGUUACAGGUUGCUGAGGCAACCCGCCUGCUACAGUUGUGGUUAACUCUAAAAUUUACUGAUAAUGCUGACCUGAGACUUGAGUCUUAUCUUCACUGAAUGCAGUACAGGUGUAUUGUAGGUAGGCUGUAGGAGGACCAUAGCUACCUCUAAAUCUUUACAGAAGAUUUUGAAUGUGGCUUUUGUUGCAUAGAAAAUAAAUAAAAUAAAAUAAAUCUCUACAGAAGACUGGCAAGAGAUUGGUGCAUAUUUAAUAGCAAACAGUGGGAUGCUUUGAAAGGGAUGGAUAACAUAGAACAUUGAACAGCAAGAGCUUUAGUGGGGUUUAGGUUUUAGUAGUUGUCCAGCCAAGACUCUGCCUGUUACUGAAGCUAGGGAUAUGUGGAGUGACCAAUUUACAUCAGUCAUAGUAGAGAAGUAAUUGCUUUUAUCUGACAAAAGCAGUCUGGACCCAGUCAACAACAUGCUGAUGCUACAGUCCCUAUUCUUGAUGUUUUAUUGGAAAGUGGUAAGACUUCUUUUUCUCUCUGAGCUGGUACCACCAAUUUGCAGUGGUAUGUUCUAGAAGCAAAUCAUAUUUCAGAGCUCUUUGGUUGUGUAAUUUUUUUCAAUAGGCAUGAUGAGUAUUCUGGAAGCUGUAUCAUGGUGCCUUUUGCUUGGCUGUGUGUCAUUACUAUAAUGCAUAGGUUUUUUACUUGUUUGUGUGAUUGUUUUUAUUCCAAAGACUGCCAUCCAGGGCCAUGCAGCAAACAAGCAACAGGGAAAUAUCCCACUAUGCAAUCCUAUUUUGAGAUGAUAUUUAGGAUGAGAGAACAUGCAUUAGUUACCUACCAGCUUGACAGGAAUGGAUUUCCAAAUCUGACACACCAUAGCCUGAAUUCUCACCAGUUUGCUCCUGGAAAGGCCCGCUCAUGCAUGAGCCCCUGCCACUCUUCUAAAUAAGCUUCCAGGCAUUACCUGCAUGCUGUGUUCCUGUGGUGGGAUGGCAGUAAUCUCUGCUAAGAUAAACGGGAGCUUCUGUGGAUAAAGCAUAAACGCAGUGAAGUGUGUGUGGCUGGAAGAUUUAAUGCCUCUACAGUGCUUAGAUACAAGUUGAGCUUGGAAUUCCAGAGGUAGAGCACUGCUGAUUGGAGACAUAUUAAGUAAAAUGUACUGUGGAAAUGAGAUAAAACCUUUAUUCUUGCUAAUGAUUGUCAUUGUAUGUAUUCAGGUGUCCAACAAAGGAUUUUAGAAUAAAGUGUGCCUUUAAAGUUUCCCACCUUCUUAAAGCUCCCAAUGAAUUGCAAAGGGCCUGUUUGGAAUGGACUGUAUUAAAUCUACUUCAAAUGAAAACCUUUACACUGAGUGAAAUAUGGUUCAACAAUUCUUAACACAAGGCCUUUACACUUGUGUAGCCCAUUUUGGUUUGGCCUAUCUUGUCACUAGAAUGCUGUCUGAGCUUGGAUUAUUUAUGCCCUAAGAUUUACUUAAAAUUGAAGGGAGUAUUUCCAUUCAUCAACACUAGUUUUGAUAGAUGCUUAAAAGGUGCAGUGAGGUUGAU